CACUUCCCGGACUCUCAGCCACACGCGUGCCGACGCGUGCGCAGGGCAUCGGACGCAAAAACGUUUCCUCCAAUCCAACUCUGAGUCUGAGCGUGUCGCGUUCCAUUCCCAUCCCGCCGCUACUGCCUUAGUCCCGGCCUCGCCCCCUCUCCGCGGAGCGCAGCCAUCUCCCUACCCCGAUCCCAAAUCGAUGCCCAGACACCAACCCGUCCCACCGACGCUGCGAAGCUGGAGGAAGGGGAGCAUGAGCUAAGCAUCGUCGACAUGCUCCUCGAGGUGUUGUCGGGCCGCUGCGAGCUGCGACGAACCUCCUUCGGCUCUUGGCGCCUGUACCGGCGCUUUAGCUUCACCUCCAUGGGGGCGCCGCCACGGGGAAGACGCGUGCGCUCCUCCUCGCUCUCCACCAAGUGAUAAAUUUUCUCAAAUUUGUUUUCAAAUGUAUCUAUAGAUUUGUUUUUUCCCUGAGGGUUAGAGUAUUCUAGGACUAAUGUAGGUUGUGAAUAUGGUGGAAUUUCUUGAUUAAUGUCUUGGCAUGGGGAUUCAGUUGCCUGGGUACCAGAUAUAGCGAUGAGCGAAAUUUAAGGCGUGAAUCCCAGGUAGCAGAUUCACAGGAAACUUUUGGGGCCUUGAUAUCGAUUCCCUAAUGUUUGUUGGGAUUGCUUUCAUUGGAUUUUUCUUUGUUGGAUCAGUCACUACCUUGGCGUAUCUAGGCCCUAGAGAAUCGAUUUUGCAGGUUACAUCUGAUUUGACUCAAGAUUUCUUCAUGGCUUUUCAGUCCUAGACACAGCAACCCCUGUACUUUUCUUGAACUAAGUUUGGAAGGUAUUCUACAAAAGUAGUAAGA
Zea mays is the source of this 844-nucleotide long non-coding RNA. RefSeq lists it as uncharacterized. The transcript is spliced from 4 exons. NCBI's taxonomy places the organism in Eukaryota, Viridiplantae, Streptophyta, Magnoliopsida, Poales, Poaceae. The record is from RefSeq and is a predicted model, not a curated record.